CUUGAUCGUUUUGGCAUUUUGCCUUUCUUAGUUGAUGCUAAGUCGGCAAAUUGGCCAGCUAUUUGGAUCGCGAGCUAACUAUGGGGGAGCACGGAUUUUGCAGAGGAGAUCUUUGUUGCCGGUGUUGGCCUCCCGUUGAUGUUGAUAACCCCUCGACCAGCUGUGGUCGUGUCGGUGUAGUUCCAAUCCCACCUUGGUCGUCUUGGU
RNAcentral lists this long non-coding RNA (207 nucleotides) under Elaeis guineensis (African oil palm). RNAcentral describes it as "long non-coding RNA (EGUI_LNC010105)". Lineage: Eukaryota; Viridiplantae; Streptophyta; Magnoliopsida; Arecales; Arecaceae. The record is from RNAcentral.